CCUACGGGAGGCAGCAGUGGGGAAUAUUGGACAAUGGGGGGAACCCUGAUCCAGCGACGCCGCGUGAGUGAAGAAGUAUUUCGGUAUGUAAAGCUCUAUCAGCAGGGAAGAAAAUGACGGUACCUGACUAAGAAGCCCCGGCUAACUACGUGCCAGCAGCCGCGGUAAUACGUAGGGGGCAAGCGUUAUCCGGAUUUACUGGGUGGAAAGGGAGCGUAGACGGUGCAGCAAGUCUGAUGUGAAAGGUCGGGGCCCAACCCCGGGACUGCAUUGGAAACUGUUGAACUGGAGUACAGGAGAGGUAAGCGGAAUUCCUAGUGUAGCGGUGAAAUGCGUAGAUAUUAGGAGGAACACCAGUGGCGAAGGCGGAUUACUGGACUGUAACUGACGUUGAGGCUCGAAAGCGUGGGGAGCAAACAGGAUUAGAUACCCUAGUAGUC
Molecule: ribosomal RNA, 440 nt
Filed under: uncultured bacterium
Lineage: Bacteria
Description: partial 16S ribosomal RNA
Rfam family: Bacterial small subunit ribosomal RNA
Source: RNAcentral